GGAAGUAGCAAUACUUUUGAUGACGAGUGGCGGACGGGUGAGUAAUAUUUGGGAAUCUACCUAUCAGAGGGGGAUAGCAACUGGAAACGGUUGAUAAGACCGCGUACGCUCUGAGGAGGAAAGUAAUGGGAUCGAAAGACCAUUAGCUGAUAGAUGAGCCCAAACGGGAUUAGCUAGUAGGCGGGGUAAUAGCCCACCUAGGCGACGAUCUCUAGCUGGUUUUAGCGGAUGAUCAGCCACAUUGGAACUGAGACACGGUCCAAACUCCUACGGGAGGCAGCAGUAGGGAAUAUUGCACAAUGGAGGGAACUCUGAUGCAGCCAUGCCGCGUGUGUGAAGAAGGCCUUCGGGUUGUAAAGCACUUUAGUUUUCGAGAAAGGGUGCUGUUCAAAUAGGGCAGUAUUCAGAUGUUAGAAAAAGAAUAAGUACCGGCAAACUCCGUGCCAGCAGCCGCGGUAAUACGGAGGGUACGAGCGUUAAUCGGAAUGACUGGGCGUAAAGGGCACGUAGGUGGAUAGAUAAGUCACAAGUGAAAUACCCGGGCUUAACCUGGGAUUGGCUCAUGAAACUGUUUAACUAGAGUACGGUAGAGGGGAGUAGAAUUCCAAGUGUAGCGGUGAAAUGCGUAGAGAUUUGGAAGAAUACCGGAGGCGAAGGCGGCUCUCUGGACCGAUACUGACACUGAAGAGCGAAAGCGUGGGGAGCAAA
RNAcentral lists this ribosomal RNA (708 nucleotides) under uncultured rumen bacterium. RNAcentral's name for it is "bacterial SSU rRNA". It matches the Rfam family "Bacterial small subunit ribosomal RNA", at positions 72 to 772 of the family's 1533-position model. The record is from RNAcentral.